RNAcentral lists this ribosomal RNA (261 nucleotides) under uncultured prokaryote. RNAcentral's name for it is "partial 16S ribosomal RNA". It matches the Rfam family "Bacterial small subunit ribosomal RNA", at positions 524 to 784 of the family's 1533-position model. The record is from RNAcentral.
UACGUAGGGGGCAAGCGUUGUCCGGAAUUAUUGGGCGUAAAGGGCUCGCAGGCGGUUUCUUAAGUCUGAUGUGAAAUCUUGUGGCUUAACCACAAGCGGUCAUUGGAAACUGGGAGACUUGAGUGCAGAAGAGGAGAGUGGAAUUCCACGUGUAGCGGUGAAAUGCGUAGAGAUGUGGAGGAACACCAGUGGCGAAGGCGACUCUCUGGUCUGUAACUGACGCUGAGGAGCGAAAGCGUGGGGAGCGAACAGGAUUAGAUA